GGGUCAGUAGGUUGGUCGUGCCACCGGUACGUACUGGUCUCACUGAUUCCUCCUUCCUGAAGAACCGUGAUGCCAUUAAUUUGGUGUUGCGGGGAAACAGGACUGUUACUUUGAAAAAAUUAGAGUGUUUAAAGCAAGCUAACGCUUGAAUACAUUAGCAUGGAGUAAUGAAAUAGGACGAUCGAUCCUAUUUUGUUGGUUUCCAGGAUUGACGUA
This 216-nucleotide ribosomal RNA is filed under the name Glomeromycotina sp. RNAcentral's name for it is "partial small subunit ribosomal RNA". The stretch from base 40 to 216 matches the Rfam family "Eukaryotic small subunit ribosomal RNA", at positions 686 to 864 of the family's 1831-position model. The record is from RNAcentral. Lineage: Eukaryota; Fungi; Glomeromycota.